Molecule: ribosomal RNA, 301 nt
Filed under: uncultured bacterium
Lineage: Bacteria
Description: partial 16S ribosomal RNA
Rfam family: Bacterial small subunit ribosomal RNA
Source: RNAcentral
CAGUCGCCGCGGGAAUACGAAGGGGGCUAGCGUUGCUCGGAAUUACUGGGCGUAAAGGGCGCGUAGGCGGACAGUUCAGUCGGGGGUGAAAGCCCGGGGCUCAACCUCGGAAUUGCCUUCGAUACUGGCUGUCUUGAGUAUGAGAGAGGUGUGUGGAACUCCGAGUGUAGAGGUGAAAUUCGUAGAUAUUCGGAAGAACACCAGUGGCGAAGGCGACACACUGGCUCAUUACUGACGCUGAGGCGCGAAAGCGUGGGGAGCAAACAGGAUUAGAUACCCCCGUAGUCCCUGUCUCUUAUAC